CCCUUAGAUGUUCUGGGCCGCACGCGCGCUACACUGAUGCGUUCAACAAGUUUCCUUGGCCGAGAGGCCUGGGCAAUCUUCUUAAUAUGUAUCGUGAUAGGGGUAGAUUAUUGCAAUUAUUAAUCUUGAACGAGGAAUUCCUAGUAAACGCAGAUCAUCAAUCUGCAUUGAUUACGUCCCUGCCCUUUGUACACACCGCCCGUCGCACCUACCGAUUGGAUGUUCCGGUGAAGCCUCGGGAUGAGGACUGGUGCCUUUAUUGGCAUGAGUUGUUCAGAACUUGUCUAAACCUUAUCAUCUAGAGGAAGGUGAAGUCGUAACA
RNAcentral lists this ribosomal RNA (322 nucleotides) under uncultured eukaryote. Its description in RNAcentral is "partial 18S ribosomal RNA". It matches the Rfam family "Eukaryotic small subunit ribosomal RNA", at positions 1470 to 1796 of the family's 1831-position model. The record is from RNAcentral.